UCCAGACUCCUACGGGAGGCAGCAGUGGGGAAUAUUGCACAAUGGGGGAAACCCUGAUGCAGCGACGCCGCGUGAGUGAAGAAGUAUUUCGGUAUGUAAAGCUCUAUCAGCAGGGAAGAAAGAAAUGACGGUACCUGACUAAGAAGCCCCGGCUAACUACGUGCCAGCAGCCGCGGUAAUACGUAGGGGGCAAGCGUUAUCCGGAUUUACUGGGUGUAAAGGGAGCGUAGACGGCGAUGCAAGUCUGAAGUGAAAGGCGGGGGCCCAACCCCCGGACUGCUUUGGAAACUGUAUAGCUGGAGUGCAGGAGAGGUAAGUGGAAUUCCUAGUGUAGCGGUGAAAUGCGUAGAUAUUAGGAGGAACACCAGUGGCGAAGGCGGCCUGCUGGACAUUAACUGACGCUGAGGCGCGAAAGCGUGGGGAGCAAACAGGAUUAGAUACCCCCGUA
RNAcentral lists this ribosomal RNA (448 nucleotides) under uncultured bacterium. RNAcentral's name for it is "partial 16S ribosomal RNA". It matches the Rfam family "Bacterial small subunit ribosomal RNA", at positions 330 to 792 of the family's 1533-position model. The record is from RNAcentral.